UUGAACGCUGGCGGCAUGCUUUAAACAUGCAAGUCGAACGGCAGCGCGGGCUUCGGCCUGGCGGCGAGGGGCGAACGGGGGGGUAAUACAGCGGAACGUGCCCAGUAGUGGGGGAGAGCUCGGCGAAAGCCGGAUUAAUACCGCAUACGACCUGAGGGUGAAAGCGGGGGAGCUUCGGACCUCGCGCUAUUGGUGCGGCCGAUGGCAGAUUAGCUAGUUGGUGGGGUAAAGGCCUACCAAGGCGACGAUCUGUAGCUGGCCUGAGAGGACGACCAGCCACACUGGGACUGAGACACGGCCCAUACUCCUACGGGAGGCAGCAGUGGGGAAUUUUGGACAAUGGGCGAAAGCCUGAUCCAGCAAUGCCGCGUGUGUGAUGAAGGCCUUCGGGUUGUAAAGCACUUUUGGCGGGAACGAAAAGGACUGUGCCAAUACCACGGUUCGAUGACGGUACCCGCAGAAUAAGCACCGGCUAACUACGUG
RNAcentral lists this ribosomal RNA (483 nucleotides) under uncultured bacterium. RNAcentral's name for it is "partial 16S ribosomal RNA". It matches the Rfam family "Bacterial small subunit ribosomal RNA", at positions 29 to 507 of the family's 1533-position model. The record is from RNAcentral.